RNAcentral lists this ribosomal RNA (440 nucleotides) under uncultured bacterium. RNAcentral's name for it is "partial 16S ribosomal RNA". It matches the Rfam family "Bacterial small subunit ribosomal RNA", at positions 338 to 795 of the family's 1533-position model. The record is from RNAcentral.
CCUACGGGUGGCAGCAGUGGGGAAUAUUGCACAAUGGGGGUAACCCUGAUGCAGCGACGCCGCGUGAGCGAAGAAGUAUUUCGGUAUGUAAAGCUCCAUCAGCAGGGAAGCAAAUGACGGUACCUGAGUAAGAAGCUCCGGCUAAAUACGUGCCAGCAGCCGCGGUAAUACGUAUGGAGCAAGCGUUAACCGGAUUUACUGGGUGUAAAGGGAGCGCAGGCGGCAUUGCAAGUCUGGUGUGAAAUACCGGGGGUCAACCCCGGAGCUGCAUUGGAAACUGUGAGGCUGGAGUGUCGGAGAGGCAGGCGGAAUGCCUAGUGUAGCGGUGAAAUGCGUAGAUAUUAGGAGGAACACCAGUGGCGAAGGCGGCCUGCUGGACGAUGACUGACGCUGAGGCUCGAAAGCGUGGGGAGCAAACAGGAUUAGAUACCCUUGUAGUC